RNAcentral lists this ribosomal RNA (247 nucleotides) under Klebsiella ornithinolytica. Its description in RNAcentral is "Raoultella ornithinolytica partial 16S ribosomal RNA". It matches the Rfam family "Bacterial small subunit ribosomal RNA", at positions 877 to 1123 of the family's 1533-position model. The record is from RNAcentral. Lineage: Bacteria; Pseudomonadati; Pseudomonadota; Gammaproteobacteria; Enterobacterales; Enterobacteriaceae.
GGAGUACGGCCGCAAGGUUAAAACUCAAAUGAAUUGACGGGGGCCCGCACAAGCGGUGGAGCAUGUGGGUUAAUUCGAUGCAACGCGAAGAACCUUACCUACUCUUGACAUCCAGAGAACUUAGCAGGGAUGCUUUGGUGCCUUCGGGAACUCUGAGACAGGUGCUGCAUGGCUGUCGUCAGCUCGUGUACUGAAAUGUGGGGUUAAGUCCCGCAACGAGCGCAACCCUUAUCCUUUGUUGCCAGCG